Molecule: ribosomal RNA, 254 nt
Filed under: uncultured bacterium
Lineage: Bacteria
Description: partial 16S ribosomal RNA
Rfam family: Bacterial small subunit ribosomal RNA
Source: RNAcentral
GACGAACCGUCCUAACGUUGUUCGGAAUCACUGGGCUUAAAGGGCGCGUAGGCGGCCUCCGCAAGUCAGUUGUGAAAUCUCCGAGCUUAACUCGGAAAGGUCAACUGAUACUGCGGGGCUAGAGUGCGGAAGGGGCAACUGGAAUUCUUGGUGUAGCGGUGAAAUGCGUAGAUAUCAAGAGGAACACCUGCGGCGAAGGCGGGUUGCUGGGCCGACACUGACGCUGAGGCGCGAAAGCUAGGGGAGCGAACGGG